Molecule: ribosomal RNA, 420 nt
Filed under: bacterium
Lineage: Bacteria
Description: partial 16S ribosomal RNA
Rfam family: Bacterial small subunit ribosomal RNA
Source: RNAcentral
UGGGGGAUAUUGCACAAUGGGCGAAAGCCUGAUGCAGCGACGCCGCGUGGGGGAUGAAGGCUUUCGGGUUGUAAACCUCUUUCGCUAUCGAACAAGGCCCGCUUAGGGUGGGUUGAGGGUAGGUGGAGAAGAAGCGCCGGCUAACUACGUGCCAGCAGCCGCGGUAAUACGUAGGGCGCGAGCGUUGUCCGGAAUUAUUGGGAGUAAAGGGCUCGUAGGCGGCUUGUUGCGCCUGCUGUGAAAACGCGGGGCUUAACUUCGCGCGUGCAGUGGGUACGGGCAGGCUUGAGUGUGGUAGGGGUGACUGGAAUUCCAGGUGUAGCGGUGGGAUGCGCAGAUAUCUGGGGGAACACCGAUGGAGAAGGAAGGUCACUGGGCCAUUACUGACGCUGAGGAGCGAAAGAAUGGGUAGCGAACAGG